This 90-nucleotide small RNA is filed under the name Klebsiella pneumoniae. Its description in RNAcentral is "RtT sRNA". It matches the Rfam family "RtT RNA", at positions 24 to 109 of the family's 130-position model. Rfam says of the family: This family represents a bacterial cis-regulatory element known as RtT RNA. The exact function of RtT is unknown although it is thought that it may be involved in changing the cellular response in relation to amino acid starvation. Lineage: Bacteria; Pseudomonadati; Pseudomonadota; Gammaproteobacteria; Enterobacterales; Enterobacteriaceae. The record is from RNAcentral.
GAGAACCUCCGGGGGCAGGAGGUUCGACUCGAGCGAAGCGAGAGAACGUUGCGUCAGCAACGGCCCGCAGGGCGAGCCACGAAGUGGUGA